Long non-coding RNA from Spodoptera frugiperda (fall armyworm), 517 nucleotides. RefSeq lists it as uncharacterized. The transcript has 2 exons. The record is from RefSeq and is a predicted model, not a curated record. NCBI's taxonomy places the organism in Eukaryota, Metazoa, Arthropoda, Insecta, Lepidoptera, Noctuidae.
AGUGUCAGUGUCAACGUCAAAGAGAGGUGUGUGUUGAGGUUAUAAUUUCAUUAAAUUCUAUUAAAUGAAAAAAUAAUUUCAAAAUAUCACAACUGUAAAAUUUAGAAGGAAAGAUGCAAAGAAUUUUCUCCUUAGUGAAAACGAUAUCAGCUGCUAGGAUUGGUCCUGCAACUUAUACGCAGAUACCGAUUCUGUCUACCUUUCAGCAAUUUGCGAGGGAACGAUUACUACAACCAGCACUGCCUAUAGUUAAUCCAGUUUGUGGUUUUAAAGUAAAGGGUCGCGUGCGUCGUCGUUGCAAAUCAUGCUAUUUUGUUGUGAGAGAUGAAAGGUUGUAUGUUAUUUGCCCAAAAUCUCCCCGUCACAAACAGAUGGCAAUGAAACCCAAACCAUUAAAUACUUAUAUUUUAACACAUGCUAGCCAGAGUCCUGUUCGACCAUGGUGAUGUUUAAAUUUAUAUGAUAAUGUGGUAGUAAGAUAUAGAAGUUGUAAUGUAUUAAACUAAUUUUAGUUUCA